AUUGAACGCUGGCGGCAUGCUUUACACAUGCAAGUCGAGCGGCAGCGCGGGGGCAACCCUGGCGGCGAGCGGCGAACGGGUGAGUAAUGCAUCGGAACGUACCCUGGAGUGGGGGAUAACGCCGCGAAAGCGGCGCUAAAUACCGCAUAUGCUCUGAGGAGGAAAGUGGGGGACCGCAAGGCCUCACGCUCUGGGAGCGGCCGAUGUCCGAUUAGCUAGUUGGUGAGGUAAAGGCUUACCAAGGCGACGAUCGGUAGCUGGUCUGAGAGGAUGAUCAGCCACACUGGGACUGAGACACGGCCCAGACUCCUACGGGAGGCAGCAGUGGGGAAUUUUGGACAAUGGGGGCAACCCUGAUCCAGCCAUGCCGCGUGAGUGAAGAAGGCC
RNAcentral lists this ribosomal RNA (387 nucleotides) under uncultured bacterium. Its description in RNAcentral is "bacterial SSU rRNA". It matches the Rfam family "Bacterial small subunit ribosomal RNA", at positions 29 to 416 of the family's 1533-position model. The record is from RNAcentral.